Sinocyclocheilus rhinocerous is the source of this 443-nucleotide long non-coding RNA. RefSeq lists it as uncharacterized. The transcript is spliced from 2 exons. NCBI's taxonomy places the organism in Eukaryota, Metazoa, Chordata, Actinopteri, Cypriniformes, Cyprinidae. The record is from RefSeq and is a predicted model, not a curated record.
GAAAACCAGCUAUGAACAACUGUCAUGGGAUACUGGGCUAACUUUAUUCAUGCUGGCUCUCCAAAUGAUCCCAGUCUUGUGCACUGGCCUGUGUACACAGCAAAUUUGAAAGUGUUAAAUUGACACUCAGAGUGAGAAAAUUAACACUUUUUCGGGGUUUAUAUAGGUCCACACUAAAUAGAGUUAAACUAACACUUUAAAUAGUGUUACUUUUUUUUUACACUUGCAUAGAGUAAAAACAACACUGUAAGUGUUCACCGUUAACACCAUUAGUGUUUUCCCUCCCCCUCAUUUACACCAAGUUAGUGUUGAAACUACACUACGUGUGUCAAUAUCUUAACACCAAGAGACUUAUUUCCACACUAAUAUAGUGUUCAUACUAACCCUGAUUAAGGUAAUUAAGUGUAAUCUGUAUUCGACUAAAAAUACCUGUGCAUUGUGUA